GAGGUGUGCUCAGAGCAGGGAGCCUGAAGAAUGGCCCCUCUGUGUACAAAACACCCAACAGGAAUUCGGGUUCAUUGUGACAAGGGGCCCACAACUUGCGGCCUUCCGAUGAACAAAUGCCCUACACGU
Molecule: small nucleolar RNA, 129 nt
Organism: Loxodonta africana (African savanna elephant)
Lineage: Eukaryota; Metazoa; Chordata; Mammalia; Proboscidea; Elephantidae
Product: small nucleolar RNA SNORA11
Source: Ensembl